Molecule: long non-coding RNA, 279 nt
Filed under: Elaeis guineensis (African oil palm)
Lineage: Eukaryota; Viridiplantae; Streptophyta; Magnoliopsida; Arecales; Arecaceae
Description: long non-coding RNA (EGUI_LNC001488)
Source: RNAcentral
CGUGCUUGACAGUUAUACCAGAAUCAUCUAUAAAAUGGAGGUAAGUGCACAGUACGGAUAAGCAAGCUCGAGCCAGAACUCUACUACUUUCUACAUUCAAAAACUACUGUUCACCAACUUCUUUUUCUGACUUAAACAUCGGAGGGUCUCCGUCGGACACCAAUCCGGUCCGUGUGGAUGCUGUCUUGCAGGUGCUCGUUUCUAGCGACAGACAACGGCGAGUUGGCCGCAACAGAUUGACGCAUCAGAUAGGAGAAAAGAUUAUAUACACCAUGAUGA